GGAAAUAGUGUGUGAAUAUGGACGGUGGGCAGGAGUCUCUGAGAUCAAGAGAGGAUGUGUUUAAAGUUGCUGGAGAUUUGAUUUCAUAUCACCUUACAGAGCUUGAAUACAUCAAUGCAUAAAGAAGUACCAUGAGGCAGCUCUGACAAGUUCUCUGAGGCCAUCAAGUAGAACCCUGGAGUCAGCCAGUACUAUGAGAACUGGGCCAAAGCCCCACCGUAAAGUGCCCAACGUGGAGGGGGCCAAGCAGGAUGCCAUCAGUACCCUUCUCCUGGACCCCACUAAUGAUCAUGCAAGACCCUCAACGCCUGUACUGUUUGUCUCAUCCACUCUAUCCAUAAUACUGAGCUGUUAUAGCUAGGGCCUAAUGUGGACCAAGGACCCUAGUUAUGCAAGUACUAAGCUCUCACCACUUGUUUCCAAUGCAGAUUGGGGGGGAAAAAAACAUGAUUUUUCUAAGUAUGUGAACAGGUUAUUCUUUCUUUUAACACACAUUUCAUUUUAUGUAAUACAUGUUUCAUAAAGUGGUGUGAAACUCCCACUUGGUGCAGAACUGACUACUGUAGUAAAUCUGUCCCUCUGUCUGCACGUGUGUGUUUCCAGUUUUAAUGUCACAUGGACAGGUACAGUGAAAUGUCUUUCUUGCAACCAACAAAGCAGUAAUCAUUAACAAUGUAAUACAACAAAUAACAUGGUAGAACAAAAAGAAACGAGAUAAACAUAAAAAAUAAGAAGAACACAAUAAAGUAAGUAAGCAUACUAUAUAAAGGGUCAGUGCCAAUACCAUAUUAACAAUGUGCAGGGAUACUGGAUUGAUAUAGGUAGAUAUAUA
RNAcentral lists this long non-coding RNA (832 nucleotides) under Salmo salar (Atlantic salmon). Its description in RNAcentral is "lncRNA (ENSSSAG00000105063.1)". The record is from RNAcentral. Lineage: Eukaryota; Metazoa; Chordata; Actinopteri; Salmoniformes; Salmonidae.